Molecule: long non-coding RNA, 948 nt
Organism: Agrilus planipennis (emerald ash borer)
Lineage: Eukaryota; Metazoa; Arthropoda; Insecta; Coleoptera; Buprestidae
Exons: 3
Source: RefSeq, a predicted model, not a curated record
AUUCUAGGUUGUGAUUCAUAUUUUGCUACUUCAUGUAGAUUAAAAACACUUUUGGUUAGUUUUACUUACGAUAAGUUCACCGUUGGUGAGUAAAAAGCAAAUCGGCAGCAUAUUUGCUGGUCUAUUUAAUUUAAGUGGUCGUUGAAUUGCAAACGACAAACGCAAAAGUCUAGUUGGGUAUGGAAAAGAAAGCUUAAACGAUUCCAGUAUGAAAACGGCGCGUUGUGGAUAUGUGACCUGUAGCAUACGGAAUACCUGCCUGCUUCGAUUCCCGCCUUUAUACGGUCGUCCCCAACAACUCAUCAUAAUGGCCGAUAGUUGUCCAACGUGAACGAACUACGUGCCGUAACCGUUACUGGUAUUAGGAGAACCGUUACAUUUUAUUCGAAAAAAAUCUCAAGCGCGAAUUAGUAAUGAGCAAAAUUGGUUUUAGUAUUGCAGUCGUGCACGACCAAGAUUACCUUUAUACUAGCAACACCAAAACCAAGAUGAACGAACAGGACAAGACUAAAACCAAGACGGAACGAAUAAGACCAAGACUAAAACCAAGACCGAGUAUGCAAGACCAAGACCGAAACCAAGGCCGAAUAUUAAAGACCAAGACCAAAUACGCAAGACUAAACGAAAAAUUAUCACUGCAACUUUAAUGCAUUCUUUUUGGAAAAAAACAUUUUUAGUAAUUGAAAUUUUUACCUUUACUUUAAUUAUUAAAAAAACGUAUGAGUUUAAAUAAGUAAAACCAAGACUUAACAUGCAAGACCAAGACCGAGACUGAAUAAGUAUGGAAAAGACUAAUACCAAGACUGGAACAGUCUUGUUUGAGUGUCGCUUUGCUCAUCAUUAAUGUGAAUUAAGGAACUAGUUAAAUACUAUUCAAAAACAGAAAGAAAAGCUUAUGGACAAUAUUGCUGUAUCAUCAUCAUCAUCAUAUGGUCGUCAGUCCUGAGA